This 492-nucleotide ribosomal RNA is filed under the name uncultured bacterium. Its description in RNAcentral is "partial 16S ribosomal RNA". It matches the Rfam family "Bacterial small subunit ribosomal RNA", at positions 29 to 507 of the family's 1533-position model. The record is from RNAcentral.
AGUGAACGCUGGCGGUAGGCCUAACACAUGCAAGUCGAACGGCAGCACAGUAAGAGCUUGCUCUUACGGGUGGCGAGUGGCGGACGGGUGAGGAAUACAUCGGAAUCUACUUUUUCGUGGGGGAUAACGUAGGGAAACUUACGCUAAUACCACAUACGACCUACGGGUGAAAGCAGGGGAUCUUCGGACCUUGCGCGAUUGAAUGAGCCGAUGUCGGAUUAGCUAGUUGGCGGGGUAAAGGCCCACCAAGGCGACGAUCCGUAGCUGGUCUGAGAGGAUGAUCAGCCACACUGGAACUGAGACACGGUCCAGACUCCUACGGGAGGCAGCAGUGGGGAAUAUUGGACAAUGGGCGCAAGCCUGAUCCAGCCAUACCGCGUGGGUGAAGAAGGCCUUCGGGUUGUAAAGCCCUUUUGUUGGGAAAGAAAAGCAGCAGGUUAAUACCCCGCUGUUCUGACGGUACCCAAAGAAUAAGUACCGGCUAACUUCGUG